This is a long non-coding RNA of Oreochromis niloticus (Nile tilapia), 1603 nucleotides long. The record is from Ensembl. NCBI's taxonomy places the organism in Eukaryota, Metazoa, Chordata, Actinopteri, Cichliformes, Cichlidae.
UUAUUAAAUUGUUAGUAAUAAGUUAUAUAGCCAUCAAUAAAGCAAAUAGCUAUUGUGGCUUCUUUUAAAGCGUCAUAUACUUUCCUCUGUACCAGUAUGUUCUAUAAGGUCUCAAGUAAUACAAUGCAAAAAGUAUAGUGUGUAUAAAGGUAUUGUUUAAGUCACUUAAUGAUAACGUUCUUAUAAAUAUUAGAAGAGGACUCGCUGGAAAUGAAGGAACUUGGCAAAAGGCUUUGGGCUUUGUUUCUGCAUACAGGGUAACAGGAAGUGGAGCGCAGGGGUGAUGGAACCUCCAAGGGGAGACAGCCACCGAUGUACACACUCUGAACCCAACCACGACCUGGGUCAAGGCCAUGAAAUUUACAAAUGGGGCCCAUAGGACACAGAGGAGGACAAUAACCCCAGAGGACAGCUGGAGGCUUAAAAGAAACUGGCAGGUUUUGAUUUGCUCGAUGCUGCGUCGCAUUCAGUAUGCAGCGCUUAAGGCGAAACCGGUAAAGCAGGCACUGAAGACCCCCCCACCACCACCACCCCUCCAUGUAGACAGAUGAGUACAAGUCAAGGCUGAGCAAGUAGGCAGGGUAUGCUCUCGCUUCUGGCCACUGGGAGGCAGAAGUGUGUUUUCUUUGGCAUUUAUUUGGAGGACAGGAGCUGGAAAACUGGCUCUAGCUAGUUCCCCUCUACAUCUGGAUGGUGCCUGAGUGUAUCUCUGCUUAAAUAAAUAUCUUGAAAGAUGUAUAUUUUAAAAAUGUCCACUUUUUACUGUGGUGUCAGACACGCUGGUCUGAUUUAUUACUGUAAAUUUAAAUAAAUGUUUAAUUAGCUACGGCUGCAAUCCACUAUGGAUCUCUUAUGGUGCAUGUUUCAUGACUAUCAGGGCCACCUUUCAUGUUACCCUUCCUUUAAAUAAAAAAAACUGAUACACUACACCAGGAGUAAAACUGUAUUAUUGUAGAGUCUUUGCCUUAUAAUAUAAAGCGGCUUGAGGCGACUGUUGUUGUGAUUUGGUGCUCUAAUCAAUAGUUAAAAUUGACUCUAAGUAAAAGCUAUACAUAUAUAUAUAUAUAUAUAUAUAUAAUUCUGAUAUCACCCCUAUUAUUAAAAAUAAAUAAAUAAAUAAAACCAGCCUUUUAUCGAUGACCAGUCCUGUUGUAUGCAGGCCUGUUCGUCUUCUAGAGUUGCAUCCUUAAUCCAUCUUCACUGAGUCAAUCACAGAGCAGUCAUGAGCUCCGUUCGCCGGCUGUGCAGUCGGCUCGAAAGGUCACUGCUUUCCUGCUCCUCAUGAAUAUCUCAUGAUAUGUGUGAUGAUGGAUUUGUUUGUAAUAUUGAGCCUGUCUUGUGUGAUCAUAUAUUUAUAAUCUCAUAGGUCAUAUUAAAAAUAAAUUUCAUCAAACUGGGACAUAAAAGAAGAAGCUUCAAUUGUUUUCUUCCCUCUGGGUUUCUCUUCAGUUUUUCAUUUUUAUUUUUAUUUUGAAUCACCUUGUUGUUGAAUUGUGCUAUAUAAAUAAACUUGCCUUGCCUUGCCUUAUUUGCUUCAUUUAAAUAUUUUGGGAUGUGAACUUCCGCCAAAGACAAGUGGAAAAAAGUGUGACGUAAAUCGCCC